This 253-nucleotide ribosomal RNA is filed under the name uncultured bacterium. Its description in RNAcentral is "partial 16S ribosomal RNA". It matches the Rfam family "Bacterial small subunit ribosomal RNA", at positions 524 to 776 of the family's 1533-position model. RNAcentral also lists the same sequence under 1 other name. The record is from RNAcentral.
UACGGGGGGGGCAAGCGUUGUUCGGAAUUACUGGGCGUAAAGGGCUCGUAGGCGGCCAACUAAGUCGGAUGUGAAAUCCCCAGGCUUAACCUGGGAACUGCAUCCGAUACUGGAUGGCUUGAAUCCGGGAGAGGGAUGCAGAAUUCCAGGUGUAGCGGUGAAAUGCGUAGAUAUCUGGAGGAAUACCGGUGGCGAAGGCGGCAUCCUGGACCGGCAUUGACGCUGAUGAGCGAAAGCUAGGGGAGCAAACGGG